AUACCCUGUAGUCACGCUGUAACGAUGUCGAUUUGGAGGUUGUCCCUUGAGGAGUGGCUUCCGGAGCUACGCGUUAAAUCGACCGCCUGGGGAGUACGGCCGCAAGGUUAAAACUCAAUGAAUUGACGGGGGCCCGCACAAGCGGUGGAGCAUGUGGUUUAAUUCGAUGCAACGCGAAGAACCUUACCUACUCUUGACAUCCAGAGAAUUUAGCAGAGAUGCUUUAGUGCCUUCGGGAACUCUGAGACAGGUGCUGCAUGGCUGUCGUCAGCUCGUGUUGUGAAAUGUUGGGUUAAGUCCCGCAACGAGCGCAACCCUUAUCCUUUGUUGCCAGCACAUUAUGGUGGGAACUCAAAGGAGACUGCCGGUGAUAAACCGGAGGAAGGUGGGGAUGACGUCAAGUCAUCAUGGCCCUUACGAGUAGGGCUACACACGUGCUACAAUGGCGUAUACAAAGAGAAGCGACCUCGCGAGAGCAAGCGGAACUCAUAAAGUACGUCGUAGUCCGGAUUGGAGUCUGCAACUCGACUCCAUGAAGUCGGAAUCGCUAGUAAUCGUAGAUCAGAAUGCUACGGUGAAUACGUUCCCGGGCCUUGUACACACCGCCCGUCACACCAUGGGAGUGGGUUGCAAAAGAAGUAGGUAGCUUAACCUUCGGGAGGGCGCUUACCACUUUGUGAUUCAUGACUGGGGUGAAGUCGUAACAAGGUAACCA
This 715-nucleotide ribosomal RNA is filed under the name uncultured Providencia sp. Its description in RNAcentral is "bacterial SSU rRNA". It matches the Rfam family "Bacterial small subunit ribosomal RNA", at positions 782 to 1502 of the family's 1533-position model. The record is from RNAcentral. Lineage: Bacteria; Pseudomonadati; Pseudomonadota; Gammaproteobacteria; Enterobacterales; Morganellaceae.